This 85-nucleotide transfer RNA is filed under the name Echinostoma caproni. It matches the Rfam family "tRNA". Rfam says of the family: Transfer RNA (tRNA) molecules are approximately 80 nucleotides in length. Their secondary structure includes four short double-helical elements and three loops (D, anti-codon, and T loops). Lineage: Eukaryota; Metazoa; Platyhelminthes; Trematoda; Plagiorchiida; Echinostomatidae. The record is from Rfam by way of RNAcentral.
GGCCUUGUAGCUCAGCUGGUAGAGCGCGCGCUUUACAAAAGCGUAGACAGCAUCGAUACGCAGGGUUCGAAUUCUACCAAUGCUU